Molecule: ribosomal RNA, 1227 nt
Filed under: uncultured archaeon
Lineage: Archaea
Description: bacterial SSU rRNA
Rfam family: Archaeal small subunit ribosomal RNA
Source: RNAcentral
AAAUUUUAUCCUUGAAAGGCAACCGCCUAAGGACGAGUCGGCGGCGGAUUAGGGUGUUGGCAGUGUAAUGGACUACCAAGCCGAAGAUCCGUAGGGGCCUUGAAAGAGGCAGCCUCGAGAAGGGCACUGAGAUACUGGCCCUAGCCCCACGGGGUGCAGCAGGCGCGAAACUUUUACAAUGCACGAAAGUGUGAUAAAGGGACCCUAAGUGCUUAUCUUUUGAUAGGCUUUUGCUGAGAGCAAAAAUCUUAGCGAAUAAAUGGUGGGCAAGUCUGGUGCCAGCCGCCGCGGUAACACCAGCGCCAUUAGUGGGAACCAUAUAUUUGGCCUAAAGCGUCCGUAUCCGGUUUAACAAAUCUUUUGUGAAAUUGUUAGACUUAACCUAACAACGUGCAAAAGACACUAUUAAACUUGGAACUGGGAAGAGUUAGAAGUAUUUUUGGGGUAGUGGUAAAAUAUUAUAAUCCCAAAAGGACUACCUGUGGCGGAAGCGUCUAACUGGAACAGAUUCGACGGUGAGGGACGAAAGCCAGGGGAGCGAUCCGGAUUAGAUACCCGAGUAGUCCUGGCCCUAAACUCUGCGAGCUAGAUGUUGUAUAUUCUUCGUGAAUAUACAGUAUCGAAAUGAAGAUGUUUAGCUCGCCGCCUGGGGAAGUAUGGUCGCAAGACUGAAACCUUAAAGGAAUUGGGCGGGGGAGCACUUACAAGGGGUUGCGGCGUUGCGGUUUUAAUUUUAAUUCAACGCAGAGAAUCUCACCAGGAGCGACGGCAGAAUGAAAGUCAGGUUAAAGGCCUUACUUGACAAGCCGAGAGGUAGCGCAUGGCCGUCGUCAGCUCGUGCUGUGAAGUGUCCUGUCAAGUCAGGUAACGAGCGAGACCUGUACCUAUAAUUGCCAGCGAAUUUUAUGAUCGGGCACAUUAUAGGGACUGCCUUUGAAAAAAGGAGGAAGGUGCAGGCUACGGUAGGUCUGUAUGCUCCGAAUCUUCUGGGCUACACGCGCGCAACAAUGGUAAAGACAAUGGGUUACAACUCCGAAAGGAGAAGUUAAACCUCUAAACUUUACCUUAGUUCAGAUUGAGGAUUGUAAUCCAUCCUCAUGACGUUGGAAUCCCUAGUAAUCGGAUUUUAUCAUAGUCCGGUGAAUAUGUCCCUGCUCCUUGCACACACCGCCCGUCAAACCAACCGAGCCGGAUCUAGAUGAGAUUUGGCUUUUUAGCCAAUGCGAA